GAUGAACGCUGGCGGCGUGCCUAAUACAUGCAAGUCGAGCGAACGGACGAGAAGCUUGCUUCUCUGAUGUUAGCGGCGGACGGGUGAGUAACACGUGGAUAACCUACCUAUAAGACUGGGAUAACUUCGGGAAACCGGAGCUAAUACCGGAUAAUAUUUUGAACCGCAUGGUUCAAAAGUGAAAGACGGUCUUGCUGUCACUUAUAGAUGGAUCCGCGCUGCAUUAGCUAGUUGGUAAGGUAACGGCUUACCAAGGCAACGAUGCAUAGCCGACCUGAGAGGGUGAUCGCACACGCGAGAACGGAACCCGGUGCAAGCCACCGACGGGGGGCACAAGGAGGAAUGUUUCCGAAGUGGCGGAAGACCGGAAGAAUCAGCGCGGGGUGAGUAGUAAAGGUCUUGGGAUCUAAAAACUUGUUUAUGGGGGAAAAAAAUAGGGCAAAGAAACUGUCCACAUCUGGACGUAACAUAACAAAAAGGCCCGGGCAAACCACGUC
This 497-nucleotide ribosomal RNA is filed under the name uncultured bacterium. RNAcentral describes it as "partial 16S ribosomal RNA". It matches the Rfam family "Bacterial small subunit ribosomal RNA", at positions 28 to 507 of the family's 1533-position model. The record is from RNAcentral.